CAAACAGUUGAGGGAUAAGGAAAAGCUUAUCCCCACAAUGGUUACGUGCUGGCUCCCAGCCCUGCUCCCCGCCCUGCUCCCGGGGAGCUGGCUGCUGCCCCCCACUACAGGCUCCCCAGAAGUGGGGCCGGGAGCCUCAGAGCCUGCUGUGUGUAAUUUCUAAGUUUUUUAGCGGUUACACAGUUACCUACUUGUUAACAUCUCUAGCUGUCAUCCCAGGGGCUAGGUGGGGGAAGGGCUGGUUUCUGUCAGCAGGCAGCAGCAGCAGACUCGUCCCAGAGGCUGUGCGGGGUAGGCUGGGAGCUGUUCUCAGCCACGGGGUGAGAUACAUACAGAGUGUUUGUCCCACAGCUUCCACCCUGUAUGGGCUGACUGGCAUCCACCUGCAGGGCCUAGCCGAGGCCCUAGAUACCAUCUCACGCAUCCUGAAUGACAGCAAGGCGAUGACAACCAAACCCCCCUGGGCUGUGGCCGAGAGCCCCGAGGUGGCCAUGUCCCGACAAAAACAUCUCUCCUGAAGCCCAAGUGCCUGGUGAGCAGCUGGCCGUGGCCCACCGCCCAGGAGCCCGCUGGACGUUCAGCAGCAGCGUGGGCUGUGCCAGGCAGAAGGCGACGAACUGCCACUCGCUUCAGCCCAAAGCCGCUGGCAUCGAGCUCCACGCGUGCGACAGCGCCUGCAGCAGGGAGGCCUUGGACAGGACCUAUGGGGCGCAGGGCCAGCUGUCUCGGGGUGCUGGGAGCCAGAUCCAGCAGGGCUUGUGCUGAGCCCUGGCAGCUGGUGUCUCCUCACUGGACUUUCCAGGGAGCCUUUCCUACUCCACUAGCUUUUUGAUACAACGUCCCCAGAGCCUCUGUUCCCCUUCACUUCUCAGGUUGGUCUCAAUAGAGCAGAGUGCAGAGCCCUGGGCCCUGUGGAGGCAGAGCGCAGGUAGAGAUGGCCGUGGCUGUGGCUCUGGAACAGACAGACAGUUUUGCUCUGCCCCACUGGCCCAGCAGCAGCCUGUGUUCUCAGAGGGAUUGCUGGGGACUGAGCUGUCAUUUUCCUCUGAUCGAAGCCAUUGCUAUGCUGGGCAGAGAUGCUCAGGGUGAAUCCCGGGCCAAUGGGAUGCUGCCAACACACAGCAGCCUGAUGUUCAUUCCGAGGGAUCCAUCAGCCUGGGAGCUUAGAAGGAGGCAGCAGGCACCCCAGGCUCUGUGUCAGAACCCUCAGGGCAGCCCCUACAGGUCUUCAUGCUUCUCUGGCCAAAGGAGCCCAUCCCAUUCCCGCCUCUAGCCACCCCUGCUGGGCAGGGCUCAGAAUGCUGCAGGUUCAGAACAGGGGUUUGGGCUGAAGGGCUGUGCUUCUCUCCUCAGGAAUGCAGACCCUUAAGUCCUUUGAACCCUCUUUGCUGGAGCUUCAGGUACUUGGCAGCUCCCUACCCUUCCUUGUGUGAGCGCCUCGCCAGCAAUUGCCUUGAGACUCUGUUAGUUUAAACUUUGCUGGCACCCCAAACUCCCAGAGCCUUGUCUCUGUUGGGUCCAGUCCCUCUGGCUGGCCAUUUACAGGUGCCCCCUCCAUAGAGGCAGAUCCUGUUAACUCUGCCCUCGAAUGUGAAGCAAUGAGAUGGUUUUGUACCAACACAGAGUUGGAUAAUGAAGAGCUCAAGUGGAAGUUACGCGUGGCAGGAGUAAGAGAGGAAAGGGUUACAAACACAAUAAAAGAAUCUGCUUUCUAGGACCUGAAACUUAA
Pelodiscus sinensis (Chinese soft-shelled turtle) is the source of this 1729-nucleotide non-coding RNA. Lineage: Eukaryota; Metazoa; Chordata; Testudines; Trionychidae. The record is from RefSeq and is a predicted model, not a curated record.